UACAGAGGGUGCAAGCGUUAUCCGGAUUUAUUGGGCGUAAAGCGUUUCGUAGGCGGCAAUCUAAGUUAUCUUUCAAAGACCACGGCUUAACCGGGGGAAGGGAGAUAAUACUGGGUUGCUUUGGUUGCCGGUGGGGCAUCUGGAACUGAUGGUGUAGUAGUGAAAUACGUUGAUAUCAUCAGGAACUCCAAGGGCGAAGGCAGGAUGCUAAUCGGUUAACAACGCUGAGGAACGACAGCUAGGGG
This 245-nucleotide ribosomal RNA is filed under the name uncultured bacterium. Its description in RNAcentral is "partial 16S ribosomal RNA". It matches the Rfam family "Bacterial small subunit ribosomal RNA", at positions 524 to 766 of the family's 1533-position model. The record is from RNAcentral.